Molecule: unclassified non-coding RNA, 400 nt
Filed under: uncultured Ascomycota
Lineage: Eukaryota; Fungi; Ascomycota
Description: sequence contains ITS1
Source: RNAcentral
UGGACUACUGGGGUUUCUAAUCCUGUUUGCUACCCAUGCUUUCGCUCCUCAGCGUCAGUUACGGCCCAGAGCGGCGCCUUCGCCACUGGUGUUCCUCCUGAUAUCUGCGCAUUUCACCGCUACACCAGGAAUUCCCCGCUCCCCUACCGCACUCUAGUCACAGCAGUAUCGAGUGGCCUCUCUGGGUUGAGCCCAGAGUUUUCACACCCGACUUACCGAACCGCCUACGAGCUCUUUACGCCCAAUAAAUCCGGAUAACGCUCGAUGCCUACGUGUCACCGCGGCUGCUGGCACGUAGUUGGCCGCAUCUUCUUCUGCAGGUACCGUCAGUUUCUUCCCUGCUGAAAGCGGUUUACAACCCUAGGGCUGUCAUCCCGCACGCGGCGUUGCUGCAUCAGGC